GAUGAACGCUAGCGGCAGGCUUAACACAUGCAAGUCGAGGGGCAGCGCGGGAUAGCAAUAUCCUGGCGGCGACCGGCGGAAGGGUGCGUAACGCGUGAGCGACAUGCCCGUUGCCCGGGGACAACCGGUGGAAACGCCGACUAAUCCCCGAUGGGAUAUUGUGCCGCAUGGCACGAUAUUGAAAGUUACGGCGGCGACGGAUUGGCUCGCGUCCGAUUAGCUUGUUGGCGGGGUAACGGCCCACCAAGGCUGCGAUCGGUAGGGGUUCUGAGAGGAAGGCCCCCCACAAUGGGACUGAGACACGGCCCAUACUCCUACGGGAGGCAGCAGUGAAGAAUAUUGGUCAAUGGGCGGAAGCCUGAACCAGCCAUGCCGCGUGCGGGAAGGAGGCCCUAUGGGCUGUGAACCGCUUUUGCCUGGGGGCAAUAAGGGCGUCGCGCACGUCCGAUGAGAGUACCAGGCGAAUAAGCAUCGGCUAACUCCGUG
Molecule: ribosomal RNA, 486 nt
Filed under: uncultured bacterium
Lineage: Bacteria
Description: partial 16S ribosomal RNA
Rfam family: Bacterial small subunit ribosomal RNA
Source: RNAcentral